Molecule: ribosomal RNA, 457 nt
Filed under: uncultured bacterium
Lineage: Bacteria
Description: bacterial SSU rRNA
Rfam family: Bacterial small subunit ribosomal RNA
Source: RNAcentral
ACUCCUACGGGAGGCAGCAGUAGGGAAUCUUCCACAAUGGGCGCAAGCCUGAUGGAGCAACACCGCGUGAGUGAAGAAGGGUUUCGGCUCGUAAAGCUCUGUUGUUAAAGAAGAACACGUAUGAGAGUAACUGUUCAUACGUUGACGGUAUUUAACCAGAAAGUCACGGCUAACUACGUGCCAGCAGCCGCGGUAAUACGUAGGUGGCAAGCGUUAUCCGGAUUUAUUGGGCGUAAAGAGAGUGCAGGCGGUUUUCUAAGUCUGAUGUGAAAGCCUUCGGCUUAACCGGAGAAGUGCAUCGGAAACUGGAUAACUUGAGUGCAGAAGAGGGUAGUGGAACUCCAUGUGUAGCGGUGGAAUGCGUAGAUAUAUGGAAGAACACCAGUGGCGAAGGCGGCUACCUGGUCUGCAACUGACGCUGAGACUCGAAAGCAUGGAUAGCGAACAGGAUUAGAUA